GUUUGGGGGGUGUUUUCCGGAGAGGGUAGGAAUUUACUGUAGCCUUACCAUAAACCUGGGUUCCCUGGUGUCUCAAACAGUAAAGAAUCUGCCUGCAAUCCGGGAGACCCAGGUUCGAUCCCUGGGUCAGGAAGACCCCCUGGAGGAGGGCAUGGCCACCUACUCCAGUGUUCUUAUCUAGAGAAUCCCGUGAACAGAGGAGCCUGGCAGGUUACAGUCCAUGGGGUCACAAAGAGUUGGACACAACUGAAGCGACUAACACUUUCACUUUCACUAUCCCAAACCAGGAAACACGUGACUUGGAAGCCAGGCUGGUGGUCCCUGGUUGUCUCUCCCUGGAGGCUGAGUUCUCUGAUUUCCUCGCACAGGCUGCACGCGUUUCUAUUUACAGACUCAUCCCCACUGGGCCCUCCCUGAGCUGGCUUCCCGAGAUCCCGCCGGACCUCCACCACCCCAGGCCUGGAAUCUCCCGUGUGGUCUCCAGCUCCCAGUUCCGCCUCCCGCCUUGGACAAGGCGGAGCGUGUUGUGUUGUUCUCCAGCGAUUUCUCAUGGUGCUGAAGCCUGAUUGAAAAUGAUAAAAAAAAAAAAAAAAAAAGAUCAAGCAUAUCUUCACAACUGUCAGUGAGUUCCCACAACCAAGACAGCCAAGUGGGCAGAGUUCUGAGAGCCGUGCCCCUGCCCAGGCUGGCCAGGAUGGCUUGGGAACCUUCGACCCCAAUGAAGAUGAAACCCAGAAUCGUCUGACCUCAGCCAGACUUCCGAGCAAACCUCCCCUCUGAGCUCCGGGGCGCGGAGCUAGGCGUCUCCUGGGGAAGAGUGGUCCCUCCUGAGGGUUCUUCCUGGAAGACAGGGGGCCCAAGGUGGCGAUGAACGUGCCCGCUGCAGUGCUUCUCUGAGGGUUUGCUGGGCACAGGGGUCACAGGAGGGGACGGAGUCUUGUGCAAACACUCCUGUUAGGCAUCUCCCACCUGGCUGGCUGCUCUUCACCUUCUCUUGGGCAGAAGGCCCCUGCCCUGGUUUCUCCAGCCUCAGCGGACGUGCACACGAGACAGUGCCGGUCCCUUCAUCCGGUAGCUGGGAUCGCUGUACUCCAGGGCGCGUUUAUCUGCACACCCCUCCACCGAACAGGCCAAUCGAACCUCGCACACAGCGCUGGGUGCUUUUGGACACUGACGUGUCCCAGCAAUCGCCAGGGCCUUGAUUUAUACGUGUGGAAGCCAGAAGCUUCCUAUUGCAACCCAGCGGGCCUGGUUUCCGUCCUCAUUACUGACUUUCCACUGGGAAAUAAUUAGGUGACAAUGACCAAACGCAGCCCCCAGAUAGCAGGUACUCCGUAAACGCUUGUCGGAUUAAAGGAAAGUGAAUUAGUUCUAUUUAUACAAAAAUAACGAACUAUGGGCUGGAGAAACAGCCAAGUGGUUGGCUUGGGGGGUGCGUGGGCGGGAGUCCCACCGGGAGUCCCACCCGUCCGGGAAUGGGAUCCGGUUGACCAAGGCGGGAGCGGCAGGGUCCGGCUGGCCUCCCGACACCGCUCUGAAGGAGGGGCGUUUGCUCCCGUUGGCGUCUCCCGGCCAGCGGAGGCCCUGGCCACCGCGCCCCUGGAUGGCGAGCCAGCCGGGUGACGCACGCCCGCAGCCCAUGAGAGCAUCCCCCGAAGUGCCGCCGCUGCCUCCCGGGACUUAAUCACGCCGAGUCGCGCCCACCCCGCGCACGCCGUAACGUGGCAUUUUAAUAUCCCGGACCUGUGACAUUUACACACCGCUUGAACUUUACUUCAGUGGCUUAUAUAUUACCAUCUGCGCUCCUUCAGAAGUGUGGCUUCAACGCAGUUUAUUCUCCAUCUUAGAGUUAUUUCUGGACUUUGCUACAGUCACAUUUCGCUGGCCUCCAACAGCUUUAAGCUCCUCAUAACAGUUACCAUGGAAUGUUCUAUUUCAAGGUAAAGCUAAGGCAUGCGGUAAUUAAACAUAUAAAAUAAAACUGCAAAACAUUGUUUCUAUACA
This 2004-nucleotide long non-coding RNA is filed under the name Bos indicus x Bos taurus (hybrid cattle). RNAcentral's name for it is "lncRNA (ENSBIXG00000028601.1)". Lineage: Eukaryota; Metazoa; Chordata; Mammalia; Artiodactyla; Bovidae. The record is from RNAcentral.